AUGAUGAAUUCAGAAGUAAUUGGAUAUAGGAUUGAUUGGCUGAAGAAGUUCUGGUUCCCAGUUGAAUUUAUGGACUGCUGGGCAAUGUACCUUCUGGACAAGGAUGAAAAGACAGUGAUGGUGCUUGACCCAACUGAGACCGAUGUCAUGGAUGAGAUGAAAAUUAAACACGAGAGCCAUGCAAAGAAGUUCCAGCGAAGGUUCUGCUCUCUAUUCAACAACUAUUUCGGCAACGGGUUGGUUGAAACAGAGGGUUGGAAAUUCCUCUACCCAUUGGUGGCGCAGCAUGAACCGUGCAGCAGGGAAGACAGCGGAGUGUACAUCACACACUACUACACUGACUUCACCGGGUUGUACCUCCGUUCAACACAAAGCUAG
This 378-nucleotide ribosomal RNA is filed under the name Triticum aestivum (bread wheat). Its description in RNAcentral is "partial small subunit ribosomal RNA". Lineage: Eukaryota; Viridiplantae; Streptophyta; Magnoliopsida; Poales; Poaceae. The record is from RNAcentral.